RNAcentral lists this ribosomal RNA (253 nucleotides) under uncultured bacterium. RNAcentral's name for it is "partial 16S ribosomal RNA". It matches the Rfam family "Bacterial small subunit ribosomal RNA", at positions 524 to 776 of the family's 1533-position model. The record is from RNAcentral.
UACGUAGGGGGCUAGCGUUGUCCGGAAUCAUUGGGCGUAAAGCGCGCGUAGGCGGCCAGAUAAGUCCGGUGUGAAAGUCACAGGCUCAACCUGUGAAUGCCGCUGGAAACUGUCUGGCUAGAGUCCGGAAGGGGCGAGUGGAAUUCCUGGUGUAGCGGUGAAAUGCGGAGAUAUCAGGAGGAACACCAAUGGCGAAGGCAGCUCGCUGGGACGGUACUGACGCUGAGGCGCGAAAGCGUGGGGAGCGAACAGG